UGGGGAAUUUUGGACAAUGGGCGAAAGCCUGAUCCAGCAAUGCCGCGUGUGUGAAGAAGGCCUUCGGGUUGUAAACACUUUUGUCCGGAAAGAAAUCCUUGGCUCUAAUACAGUCGGGGGAUGACGGUACCGGAAGAAUAAGCACCGGCUAACUACGUGCCAGCAGCCGCGGUAAUACGUAGGGUGCAAGCGUUAAUCGGAAUUACUGGGCGUAAAGCGUGCGCAGGCGGUUUGCUAAGACCGAUGUGAAAUCCCCGGGCUCAACCGGGGAACUGCAUUGGUGACUGGCAGGCUAGAGUAUAGCAGAGGGGGGUAGAAUUCCACGUGUAGCAGUGAAAUGCGUAGAGAUGUGGAGGAAUACCGAUGGCGAAGGCAGCCCCCUGGGCCAAUACUGACGCUCAUGCACGAAAGCGUGGGGAGCAAAACAGGAUUAGAUACCCUGGUAGUCCACGCCCUAAAACGAUGUCAACUAGUUGUUGGGGAUUCAUUUCCUUAGUAACGUAGCUAACGCGUGAAGUUGACCGCCUGGGGAGUACGGUCGCAAGAUUAAAAACUCAAAUGAAUUGACGGGGUCAUAGCUG
Molecule: ribosomal RNA, 581 nt
Filed under: uncultured bacterium
Lineage: Bacteria
Description: partial 16S ribosomal RNA
Rfam family: Bacterial small subunit ribosomal RNA
Source: RNAcentral